Molecule: non-coding RNA, 74 nt
Organism: Caenorhabditis elegans
Lineage: Eukaryota; Metazoa; Nematoda; Chromadorea; Rhabditida; Rhabditidae
Source: the annotation of a RefSeq genome assembly
UGCGCCGAUGGCUCAGGUGGGUAGAGGUUUGGCUAUGACGCAGAAGGUCACGGGUUCGACCCCCGGUGGGGUAA